GAUGUCUUUACCUUCAGGUCUUAUUAAAAAUCUCCAACACAGGCCGGUCGCAGUGGCUCACAUCUGUAGUCCCAGCACAUUAGGAGGCCAAGGUGGAAGGAUCACUUGAGCUCAGGAGUUCGAGACCAGCCUGGGCAACAUCACAAAUCCCCAUCUCUACCUGAAAUAAUGUUUAAAAGACCAAUUCCAAGCCCUCCAUAAACCUCUUUAUCUUUCUCACAGAACAAUGCCAACGGGACUGCAAAGCCACCUUUUCUCAGCGGAGAAAACCCCUUUGCCACUGUGAAACUCCGCCCAACCGUGACGAAUGAUCGCUCGGCACCCAUCAUUCGAUGAGAAGACGGAAUGAUGGGCACGUCCUAACUCCAAUGUCGCCUAAGCAAAGCAUGCUUCUCUGUUUCACGUAGUUGGGUUGACACGUUUCUGCCUUUAAGAUAAAUGAGUAAUAGUCUAAUGACCCAUUCAGUCAUUUAAAAUAUUUUCUUCCUAUUCUGUUCAAGAAACAGUUAAAACUUGGUUUCAAUCAUUACUG
Piliocolobus tephrosceles (Ugandan red Colobus) is the source of this 532-nucleotide long non-coding RNA. RefSeq lists it as uncharacterized. The record is from RefSeq and is a predicted model, not a curated record. The transcript has 2 exons. NCBI's taxonomy places the organism in Eukaryota, Metazoa, Chordata, Mammalia, Primates, Cercopithecidae.